RNAcentral lists this ribosomal RNA (202 nucleotides) under uncultured bacterium. RNAcentral describes it as "partial 16S ribosomal RNA". It matches the Rfam family "Bacterial small subunit ribosomal RNA", at positions 570 to 774 of the family's 1533-position model. The record is from RNAcentral.
UGUAGGCGGCCAGGUAGGUCCGUUGUGAAAACUCGAGGCUCAACCUCGAGACGUCGAUGGAAACCAUCUGGCUAGAGUCCGGAAGAGGAGAGUGGAAUUCCUGGUGUAGCGGUGAAAUGCGCAGAUAUCAGGAAGAACACCUAUGGCGAAGGCAGCUCUCUGGGACGGUACUGACGCUGAGCGCGAAGCGUGGGAGCGAACA